Thunnus maccoyii (southern bluefin tuna) is the source of this 416-nucleotide long non-coding RNA. RefSeq lists it as uncharacterized. The transcript has 4 exons. The record is from RefSeq and is a predicted model, not a curated record. Lineage: Eukaryota; Metazoa; Chordata; Actinopteri; Scombriformes; Scombridae.
CUGGAGACCGUUUUCAAAAGGCUUCACAACAGCUCAGUGUGGACAGAGGGCCAGAACGGAGAGAAAAGGUCGUCCUUCUUUUGACGUCCUUGUGUCCUUGACCAGUAAAGAAGGAGAUGCUCAGCAGCUGGGUUUUUGCCCGCAGACAUGUUAAUCUCCCACCUAUGAGAGGCGAGGCGCCUACCCAGCUCCUGGAAACAGUGGCAGAACACACAAAGAAAAGGGAAAAGAACUGAGGCCGUGCUGAAAAUCUCUUCAUGGGACGGAGAUAGAGUUUCAAUGUCAAACCCCUUCCAAACAACACCAACACCUCCCGUGGGUUUCAGAGGAAGCAGAGAAGCUCUCCUGCUGAUUUACUGCAUGGAUUCGGAUGUGGAAAAUGAAGGGCAUUUUAAAAUUAAACCCAUUACAUCAGA